Non-coding RNA from Equus caballus (horse), 8761 nucleotides. The record is from RefSeq and is a predicted model, not a curated record. NCBI's taxonomy places the organism in Eukaryota, Metazoa, Chordata, Mammalia, Perissodactyla, Equidae.
GACCUAGAGGCCGGCGCGGGGGCCGGCCCAGGCGGGGCGGUGUCGUCGGAUGGCCGGCUCGGGGUGUCGGCCGGGCCGGGGAAGCCUGCGCUCGCGCCCGGCGGCCCAGCUACCCUGCCGGAGUCCGACUCCAAGCCGAGAAGGCGCUCUGCGAGAACUGCGUCCGCGGAGGGGGGCUGGAGGGCCCGGACAUCAUCCCUUUGUCACGCCUCAGGGGAGCCUGCGAUGUCUCACCUUAGCGCUCAUCUGGACUCUGCUCGUUUACAGAAGGGGAAACUGAGGCCGAGAGAGAGAGGAAAAGACUUCCUCCGACCACCCCAUGAGCCAGAACCAGAACUCUGGGCCACUAGCUCUUUCUUCCUUUCCACGAUGUCUCUUAAAAUCUCAAACGCGGAGAGUUUGGCUGGUUUUAAAUGCGUCUUCAACACAAUAGACCCACUUGAUAAGUCUCCUCACAGCGAGCAACCCCUAAGGAAAAUUCCAAGAACUCUACCGAGUUUUAGGUGGAGACAGGCUGGUGGGAAUGUGAGGCCGGCAGCCUUGCGGCUCCCGGGGUCCCUCCUGGUGGGGAGUCUCACUCCCCGGAAACUGCUCCGCCCGCCCAUGCAGGGCCCCGCCUGGCAGGUCGAGUGAGCGCGCGUUUAUGAAAGGUUUGUCGGUAGAAUCCGUGUUAGGGGACAGUUCCUCCCCGUUAGGAUAGUAACUGGGAGAACACCUGCUAAGAAUAACGUGCCACGAUCAGAUUUAUAUUUAAAAAACACUUUCCUAGUAAUUUGGCCUCUUAAAUUUACAAAAAAUUUCAGCGACCCCUCUCUAAGGGAACGACCCUGUGGUUUGAAGCCGUCGUGCUCCAUGGGCGCCAUCUGUUUCUGAGUCUGACAGGGAGGGGAUGGAGGGAGCAGAAACAGGCCUUAGACAAAAUGGCCCUCCCUCUAAACCGGCUAAGUAUCCUGGGCGUAGUGAGGGAUUAGAUUUCUGGAAGCUUUUGUCCAUUGUUUCUAACAAUGAGUAAAACCAGGUUGAGGAAGAUGUAAAAAUAGCCUCAAAAUGUAGGUUCUGAACCUACCUGGCCUCUUUCCCGCUGGGCGAGUCAUUAUGCUGACUUGGCCUUGGUUUCUGUCUGAACGGUGGGGUCAUCUGUACCUACCUUGCAGGGGUGCAGUGAUAAAUGCGCUCAGCCCUGUGUCUGUCCAUCUGUCCACAGAGGUGCCUGCUGGUGGCUGCCAUGAGGUAGUUACUAUCAGUCCAGCCCAAGUUGACUGUCUGGCAUGGUCUUCGGUUUCUACAGAAACGGUUAACUUUCCUGAGCAGAUAGGACUCCCCUUUUGUUUAAACCUUCAUCAGUUUUCUGUCGGGAAGGGAUGCCGUCAGAGAGGAGAAUGUGAAUUUCCAUGCUUUUAUUAAAAACGACUUUUCGUUUAAGCCUUGCGUGCAGGAACAGAAUCUGCUGUGCGGGACUGUUUUGGUCUGAGCCUGUGGUCUGGUGAACAGCCCAUGAACAUCAGGUCAUCCUGAGGGCUGAGGGAGCCCCCGCCUUCAAGGAAGGCGUUUUGAGGGAGGCCACUGUCGGUGACCUGGGCGAUGCUCUCUAAGGUUUCAACCAGAGUAGGGGGCUUCCUGGCUGUGUCUGUGCAGCGGGGAAGGAGGCAGCAAAGAGAGAAGGCACAGACACACUUGAGGAGCCAAGCAGCUUGCUGCAAAGUUGUGCCAGUGUAGCCCUGUGUCCUGGCAACCUGCAUUCUGCCCCCUUCUCCAGUACGUGCCGCAGGCUCCGACACCUUGCUCUUGUUCAGAGGGAUGUUACAUGGCUUCUGUGUUUUCUAGAUUGACUUGCUGUCUUUUUGGAGAAUUGGAGUUUGGGAAAAGAAAAUAAGAAUUAAAUUAUUUUCUGACUUGUUCACUGCUGUGUUGCCACCAAUGGAAAGGUCCCUAGCACAGGAUAGAGUUUCAGUGUUUGUUGAUUGAACAACUUUGCCUAUUUAAUGAUAGCUCUGACUCACCACCAUUUAUUUAGUACUUUCCACGCGCCAGGUGUUUUACACACAUCCUCUCUGCUCUUCACAAUGAUCCCAUGGAUGUGAUACCUAUUUUAUGAUGAGAAACCUGAGGCUCAGAGAGGGUGAGUAACCCGCCUGAGGUCCCACAGCAGCUGGUGGCAAAGCCAGAACAUCAGUCCAGUCUCCACUGACUCAAAGGUUUGUGCUUUUUGAAAAGCUAGUGGCGUCUCAUCUCAGGGAGGUUUGGUUCCGAUGUCUGUGCAUAAGUUGAAAAAGUAUACGAUGCAAUUCUAUUUUAUUUUGAGAAAAACUUUUGGUUGAGUUUCUUUUUAAAGAUAUGUGUAUUAUAAACAUAACAGCAUUGUACAAAGGUUGGAAAACUGGAGGAAACAAUGGUAAUCCCAGCUACCUGACAUCUUUACUUUUCUGCAUCUGAAUCAUUAUUCUUUUCUACAUUUUUCAUAUUCUCUAAAUAUACAAGUAUUACUUCUGAACAAAAAUAGAGAGAGAAUGAUAUGAAAGUCCCACCCCCUCUUGCAAGCCUUACCUCUUUGCGCUCUUCCCUUCAGCCCAGCAGGGGCCUGGAGGGCCAGCCAGGGGCAUAGGGUGCUCAACACGCAGUUGCUGACUGAGUGAGCUGGGCUGCUGGUUAAGAAUCCUGCCCGAGCUACAAGCAGAGCCUUGUUCAUAAGCUGUGGCUCCUGGCUCCCUCUGGUCCAUCUCCUACCACCUUCACUCCCCCUCACUCACUCUGUUCCAGGUGUACUGGCUUCCUUGCUGUUCCUGGAACGCUGAGCAAACUCUGGACUCGAGGCCUUUGCCCACGCUCUUUCCUCUGUCUGGGCAUUGCUCUUUCUGAUAUUCAUUUUGCUUGCUCCCUCGCUUCCCUCAGAUCUCUGCUGAGACGUCAGCUCCUCAGAGAGGCCUUUCUGGACCACUUCUGUAAAACAGCGUCCAUUCCUACCAUCCCCCUCACUCUCUGUCCUCUUGUGCAUUGUUUUGCGUCUUCUUGGUAUUUAUCGUCACUUGACGUACUGUAUAUUUUUCUUCUUUGUUUAAUGUGUCUCCCUUUAUUGGAAUGUGUACGCCCCCAAAGCGGGGCUUUAUCUGUUUUGUUCAACGGAACAGUGCGUGGCAUGUAGUCGGGGUUCAGUAAAUACUGGAUGAAUGAGUGAGUGAAUUCAAAAGGGUGGUUGCCCUUACCAACUUGGCAGGCAGGAUGGGGGCAGCAGUUUAGGGAGCUGAGGUGGACAGAGCCACACCAGGUCUACAGCAGCAAGAGUCAUGCAGUCCCUACCAGCCUGUGGGCCAGGGGCUGCCCACCUGGCCCAGCCCUGCCCUGCCCAGGGCUGGCUGAGGAGCCUGGCUCCAUUGGGGAACCAGCUGGGGCAGCAUUUGGUAGGGAAAGCUGAAUUGAUCUCAGAAACCCUGACCCCCAGCCGCACUAUGAAGAACAUCCCAGGUGAGCCCAGACUUCCCUGCUGUCAGAUUUAAGGAAGAAAGGCAAAUGACACAUCUUCCAUUUCCCCCAAUCCUGUAAUUUUUAUAAAACGAAUGGAAGACUUGGAUAAAUUUAUAUUUUGUCCAUAAAAUACAGAAAGCAAAUUUUUCUACAUGAACUGUGUUGUUGGAAAAACAAUUAUUGAGGACUUCAAAGAAAGUAAUUAGUAAUGAUGCGCAGUAAUUUCAUUCUCUUCAUUUCCUAUGUCCCUCCCCGGCGUUAGCUAAUGUUUCCUAUGCCGCCUGUUGAAGAAAUACUUAACAAAAAGAUCUCCCUGGGUUAUUUGAAUUCCUUUCAUCCAGCGACCUCGGAGCGCUACAGGUACAGUAAUUCAUUAGUCCUCUCCUGUGCUGUGGGUGGAAUUAAGAUGUUAUUGCAACACAUUGUAGACUGAGAAAUAAGCAAGAACCACAGAACAAUUAUAAAAAUAGGACAGAGAAAAGAGAGGCUUAGAAACCAGCGGUUCAACCACGUCAGUCCCUGGUGAAGGUGAUGGUAUUCGUGUUGGUGUAUGUGUUGGCGGGCGGGGUAGGGGGAGCACUUGGAAGUGGGAGAAGAAUGCUUUUCAUUCCCUGAGGAAUCCCAUUCCUCGGAUGGGAACCUCGAGGAUGGGUCGCAGGAGCAGCUGAAGAGCUGGGCACUGGGUUGGGGGGUGUCUGGAAACCCCCAGUGUUGGGGUGAUGAGAUCCUGACAAUCCUGCGCCCUCUGCCCCCACGCAGCUUCGUGAGCUCCCCGUGUCUCAGCCGGAUCUCCAGAGUGUGUGUGUUUAUCCUUCCUGACCGCUGUGGUCAGAAGGGAGGUCUGCCGCCGCCCAGUCCUGGCCGCAAUUACGCCCGCACAAUUCUUUGGGCAAUUAAUCACGGGCUGCCUGGGGACGAGGCUGCUGUUGCCAGCUCAAGCGUUCUGUCUGGUGCACCCAUUGUUUGCUUAUGGAUACCAUGUGUGUGGCAGGCAGGGCCACUGCUGGCUUUUCUCUUCUAUCCAGAGACCCGAGCAUCGUGCUGGGCUUCUGAUAAAAUUUCAGCAAACAUUUUUUGAGAAAAUAAGAAGCCUGUGCUGUUAUGGAAAGGUGGAGAGUGUCGAAGAGAGAACUGGGAGUAGGGAAGUGGGUCCCGGGCGGUACAUGUGUGAGAGGGUUUGAGGGGAGAGAAGUGCCUGCCAAGCGAGCACCUCUCCUGGGCUCGGCCUGGCACUGGCAUCUUCGCCAGAUGAUGAUUGUCAUGGCAAGCAUGGUGUCAAGUACUUAAAAUGCAUCCUCAUCACAGUCCCCUGAGGAAGACAUUACAUGGCCGUUUUACAGAUGAGGUAAACUGAGGCUCAGAGGGAUUAAGUUGCUUUAUGAAGUCACACAGUGGUGGAAGCGAGAUUUGAACCUCGUCUGACAACCUCGUUCUUACUCACAGACCUGCUAAAUGGCCUCUGCUGUCACCAACCCUUGUGAGUUGGGGAUUAUCGUCUGUUUUACUGAUGAGGAGCUAGAUGCAGGAUGGCUGGGCCUGGGACAAGGGCAGGGUCAUCUGCAUCUCGCUACCCUUCCAACUGCGUCUACCCUGCACUUGGUCCCAGUUCGUAAGUUCCACCAACACUGCAAUUCGGGAGGAUGUUUUCCCAAUCCGAUGCAUCCUUGCUCAUGAAACCCUGGACUGCUGUUCCCCAUGUCCACUGCUCUGUCUCCAGGGCCACCGGGGCAGACGCUCAGUAAGUGCUGGCUGGGACCCUGGGAUUUGGCAGGGCCUGCUCAGCUGGGCGGACAUCCAGCCUGCAGCUCCUGAGAUGCUGGGAGCCUUCAGGUAUGACAUUGAUGGAUUUUAAAAUAAUGUAUUUACAAAUUACUCGGUGAGGUAUUCAAGAGAAAGAUAAAAAAGACCAGGGAUAGUGACUAAACCACACUGAUGGGGACAGCAGAGUAGUGUCUGUGAAAAAACCGCCAUUAAACACUUAUUUCUAGGGUUAACAUCCGUAAGACGAACCUACCUGAAAUGAUCUCUUUAAACCUUUUUUUGGUAAUAUGGUAAUGUGCAUUUCUAUAGCUUUGCGUGCUACUUAAAGUAAUUUUUUUUGGAAAGACAACCCUUAAAGCAAUUGAUAUGUUGUGGUUCGUAUAUCCACCUUCUAAAAAAUUAAAAUGCCAUUUAGCAUUUAUAAUUGUAAAUUCUGAGGAUUUCCAUAUGGCAAACCUGGGAGGCAGAGCAGCGUCAUCAGAGCCGAGGCAACUGAAUGCUCCCCUCAGCCACCAGCAAGCGUCAUAAAAAUUUACUUCAUGCUGUGUCUAAACAGCACCAAACACUCCCUUCAAAUGAAAUAACUGGCACUCCCUCUCCAGAGGUGGGGAGGAGAUGGGGGAAGCAAGAGAGCCAGGAACAUGGGAAUGCCCUCUGACAGCUCCCUUCCUGCUGGGUCUCCCGGCCCGCAAAUGCUGGGGGCCGCCUGCCGUUUGCCGGGUGCGCUCAGCCUUGCAGGUGUCCUGCCUGCGUUAUCUUCUUGUUGAGGGGGCUCCAUUGAUCUAUAUGUUCUUUUUCUACUAAAGUCCCCAGAUUUGGGGAUUUGAGAGAGUUGUGGCUAUGAGCAUGGCCUUGGGAGCUGGGCAGACCUGGCCUGAUACACUGCUUUAUCUUGCUGCGUCUCAGUUUUCUUGUCUGUGAAAUGGGCUUACUAGUUGUUUUGUUGGGAGUGUUAAAUGAGAUCGUUGUUGGAGAACAGUUAGUUCAGGGCCUGCAGGAGGUGGUAUGCAGUGAGUGUGGCCAGCACUUUUAGUUCCAGAAAUCUGGGCAUGUGGCUCGUCCUCUGUCCCCACACUGCUGCGGAAGAUGGUGUAUUUGCACCUGCAGGGAUCGGUCCUUGUAUGUGGGAAAUAAAGAGAGAGCAACAGUUCCUGACUGAAAAGAAGCUAAACUCCUGUCUGCAUGGAGCCAUUCCUAGCAAUCAAGCAAACCGGGAAUCCAGUGGCCUCAAGAGCUGGAAGGGAUCCCAGAGGCCACUCAGCCAGACUCUUCAUUUCGUGGAUGAGGAAACCGAGGCCCAGAGACAGGUGCUGGCCUUGCCAAAGAUCACAGUCUGGUUGGCAGCAAAACCAGGGCUGGAAGCGAAGCCCCUUAGCCGACUGGGCGUCUGACAUGGCGUCUCUCUAAGUCCAGCCCUUUGCAAUACUUUUACAGCUGCACUUUAAAAAGGAGGUCCAGUUGCAAAGUGAGAGCAAAGAGCCUUUCUAAUUUACCCAGAGAAGAGGAGGAAAAUGACAGGCUUGCUAACGGCCGGAAGAGCACUUCCAGCUCUGUGUACAGGCUGGAGGAUUGAUUGCCGGGCCGAGAGUGUCAGCGCUCUCAGCAAGCUUCCUUUCUGAGGCAAUUAAGCCUUGCACCUCCCCGCUCUGCUGAGGACCUGGGUCAGGCCCCAGGAGACUCGGGUGGGAGCUGGAAGCCCAGGCUGGACCAACCCCGGCCUCAAGUCCUGAAGAAGGUCACAGGGGUAGGCAAGAACUUGGAGCCCACAGUAGAGCGAGGCUGUCAGGGCCAUGAGGUCAUGCUUCCUGGUACCUGGCCUGAUGGCCAAACUCCCACACUCCCUCACAUGGAAUCAGAAUCCCCAUGUGACCACCUGAUUGAAGCUGUGUACCAGGACCACCCGGGGCCAGCUAUACCUGUCCCUGUCACCCAGCUGGCUCCCUUGAUGGCACUCUCCAUCUUGAUUGUGCCUGGGUUUGCUCUGCCCUGUGCACUUUGGAGCUGUGGACCAGGAGCCUCCCCACGGUAGAGCCCAGUGUGACUCUGGAGCUGGGCCUGUGGUCCCAGCCCUGUCACCCUGGCCUAGCGUGGCUUAUUCCCUCUGGCUGACUGUUGACCAAGUGAUGGAGCUCACAGGUGGGAGGGAUCAAACUUCUCCUGUGGAAAUCUAAUGAAUGAAGCCCAGAGAUCUCCUGAGCUACCCACUUGCAACUCACUUUUGAGUGACAGUAAUGAAAAGAAAACAUUAUUUGGCCUCCCCUGGGCAAACAGAGACACUUACGAUGUCCCAUACUCCACCAAGGCCCAACCAUCUCACUGUCACAGAGACUGACAUCUACAGUCCCAGGAGUGGGCGUCUCCCAGAGAGGACCCAUAGGGAUUCUGAACUGACCCCCUGUGGCUUACACCUUCCUUAAAUCUGAUCUACUGUAGUCUCUUGCUCAUCAAUGAUCUGACAUCUUGUUUUAAGCUCCAAAAUAGCAAUUCACUUUUGUCUUGUAGGCUAACUUAGAUUGGCUGAAAGUGGUUGCCUGAGUGCUGUGUUAAGAAGGAUUCCGAGGCCAUGUCUGGGCUCAAGGAGAAAAUAUUGCAAUGGAUCAACUGUAGCUGCCAAGAUUUCCUCGGGGAACCUCAACAGCCCUUCCCUUCUGUCAUGAAGAGCAAUCCAGUUCUUUCCCAGCUCCUACCUCCCAGUUCAUCCUGAGACUCCUGGACGAGAGCCGGGCCGUGGGGUGAAGUACAAUGUGGUCAGCAGCCUCUCAGCUGGUCCCAGUGAUGCCCUUCUCCUGGUAUCCGUGCCUGUGCGCAAUCCCUCUUCUUGAGAAGGGCCGCAGUGACUCAUCAUAAUGAAUACAAUACAGCAGAGGUCGUGGUAUGUCACUUCUGAGGACAGGCUAUGAAAAGACGGUGACUUCCAUCUUGGGUGACCUCCCUCAUUCACUUGCUCUGAGGAAAGCCAGCUGCCCUGUUGUGAGCAGCCCUGUGGAGAGAUCCACAUGGUGUGGAACAGAGGGAAGCCUUUGGCCGAUAGCCAGAAAAGAACUGAGGGCUUCAGUCCGACAGCCCAAAAGGAACGGAAUCUUGUCAAUAACCUCAUGAGUGAUCUUGGAAGCAGAGCCUCCCUCAGUCAAGUCUUCAGGUGAGAUCACCACCCUGGCUGACCCCUUGACAGCAAGCCCCAGGAGAGACCCUGUGCCAGAGAACCCAGUUAGACUGCGCCUGGAUUCCUCACCCACAGAAACAGCAAGACAAUAAAUGUUCAUCGCUUCAGAAAGCUAAAUUUUAGGGGCGAUUUCUUUAUGCAGCAAGUGAUAACUAAUAUCCACAUUGAUUGCUUUUUGAAUGUGAAAUAAAUAUUGCAUUCUUGAAAUAAACCUCACCUGGCUAUGAUAUGUUAUCCUUUAAAACCUUGUUGAAUGCGAUUUACUAGUAUUUUGUUCAGGAUUUUUGUGUCUCAGUUCAUAAGGGAUGUUGGUGUGUACUUCUUUUGCAAUGUCUUUGCCCGGUUUUGAUAUUAGAGCUCUGCUAGCCUCAUAAAAUG